Molecule: ribosomal RNA, 301 nt
Filed under: uncultured bacterium
Lineage: Bacteria
Description: partial 16S ribosomal RNA
Rfam family: Bacterial small subunit ribosomal RNA
Source: RNAcentral
CAGUCGCCGCGGUAAUACGAAGGGUGCAAGCGUUACUCGGAAUUACUGGGCGUAAAGCGUGCGUAGGUGGUGGUUUAAGUCCGUUGUGAAAGCCCUGGGCUCAACCUGGGAAUUGCAGUGGAUACUGGGUCACUAGAGUGUGGUAGAGGAUAGUGGAAUUUCCGGUGUAGCAGUGAAAUGCGUAGAGAUCGGAAGGAACAUCUGUGGCGAAGGCGACUAUCUGGGCCAACACUGACACUGAGGCACGAAAGCGUGGGGAGCAAACAGGAUUAGAUACCCGCGUAGUCCCUGUCUCUCAUAC